Molecule: ribosomal RNA, 480 nt
Filed under: uncultured bacterium
Lineage: Bacteria
Description: bacterial SSU rRNA
Rfam family: Bacterial small subunit ribosomal RNA
Source: RNAcentral
GACGAACGCUGGCGGCGUGCUUAAUACAUGCAAGUCAACUGAACUUAGGAUAGCAAUAUUUUAAGGGAGGUGGCGCACGGGUGAGUAACACGUAGGUAAUCUGCCUUUAGGUCUGACAUAACCUACCGAAAGGUAGGCUAAAAUCAGAUGAUGCAGCGGCUCGACAUCGAGACAGUUGUUAAAUCUUCGGAGCCUAAAGAUGAGCCUGCGUCUGAUUAGGUAGUUGGCGGUGUAAUGGACCACCAAGCCUGCGAUCAGUAGCUGGUCUGAGAGGAUGAUCAGCCACACUGGAACUGAGACACGGUCCAGACUCCUACGGGAGGCAGCAGUAGGGAAUAUUGGACAAUGGGCGGAAGCCUGAUCCAGCAAUGCCGCGUGAGUGAUGAAGGCCUUAGGGUUGUAAAGCUCUUUUACCAGGGAUGAUAAUGACAGUACCUGGAGAAUAAGACUCCGGCUAACUACGUGCCAGCAGCCGCGGUU